UCUGCCUCUUAGUCUGGGAUAGCCAUUGGAAACGAUGAUUAAUACUGGAUACUCCUUCUAACUUUAAUGUUAGUCGGGAAAGUUUUUCGCUAAGAGAUGAGACUAUAUCCCAUCAGCUUGUUGGUAGUGUAAGAGACUACCAAGGCAAUGACGGGUAGCGGGUUUGAGAGGAUGAUCCGCCACACUGGUACUGAGACACGGACCAGACUCCUACGGGAGGCAGCAGUGAGGAAUAUUGCACAAUGGAGGAAACUCUGAUGCAGCAACGCCGCGUGGAGGAUGACGCAUUUCGGUGUGUAAACUCCUUUUAUAAGGGAAGAAAAUGACGGUACCUUAUGAAUAAGCACCGGCUAACUCCGUGCCAGCAGCCGCGGUAAUACGGAGGGUGCAAGCGUUACUCGGAAUCACUGGGCGUAAAGGACGCGUAGGCGGAUUGGAAAGUCAGAUGUGAAAUCCUACAGCUUAACUGUAGAACUGCAUUUGAAACUUCUAAUCUAGAGUAUGGGAGGGGGA
This 513-nucleotide ribosomal RNA is filed under the name uncultured bacterium. Its description in RNAcentral is "bacterial SSU rRNA". It matches the Rfam family "Bacterial small subunit ribosomal RNA", at positions 125 to 659 of the family's 1533-position model. The record is from RNAcentral.